UGGGGAAUUUUGGACAAUGGGCGAAAGCCUGAUCCAGCAAUGCCGCGUGUGUGAAGAAGGCCUUCGGGUUGUAAAGCACUUUUGUCCGGAAAGAAAUCCUUGGCUCUAAUACAGUCGGGGGAUGACGGUACCGGAAGAAUAAGCACCGGCUAACUACGUGCCAGCAGCCGCGGUAAUACGUAGGGUGCAAGCGUUAAUCGGAAUUACUGGGCGUAAAGCGCACGCAGGCGGUUUGUUAAGUCAGAUGUGAAAUCCCCGGGCUCAACCUGGGAACUGCAUUGGUGACUGGCAGGCUAGAGUAUGGCAGAGGGGGGUAGAAUUCCACGUGUAGCAGUGAAAUGCGUAGAGAUGUGGAGGAAUACCGAUGGCGAAGGCAGCCCCCUGGGCCAAUACUGACGCUCAUGCACGAAAGCGUGGGGGAGCAAACAGGAUUAGAUACCCUGGUAGUCCACGCCCUAAACGAUGUCAACUAGUUGUUGGGGAUUCAUUUCCUUAGUAACGUAGCUAACGCGUGAAGUUGACCGCCUGGGGAGUACGGUCGCAAGAUUAAAACUCAAAGGAAUUGACGGGGUCAUAGCUGUUUCCU
RNAcentral lists this ribosomal RNA (586 nucleotides) under uncultured bacterium. RNAcentral's name for it is "partial 16S ribosomal RNA". It matches the Rfam family "Bacterial small subunit ribosomal RNA", at positions 355 to 1375 of the family's 1533-position model. The record is from RNAcentral.